CAGACCCAGUGGGGCCGAGACCCAGGGCCGGCUCUGCAGAUGCUGCCCGUGCUGCUGCCACCGCUGCUGCUGCUGCUGCUUAGGCCCAGGCUGACGGAGGCCUACAGCAGGAAGGACCCGGCCACGUGGCCUUGGCAGGCAAGCAUCUUUCUGGACAGCCGGUACCGCUGUGAGGGGGCCCUCAUUUCCCCAGAGUGGGUGCUGACAAGUGCCAGCUGCUUUGGCAGGUGGGUGCAGGGCCAGGGAGGGGGUGGCAGGGGCUCUGGGAGGGCAGCUCCCAGCCUCGUCACCUCCCGCUCCACACAGCUGGCCGCUGGCCCUCUUCAGCGUGACCCUGGGCCCAGAUCGGCUGGCGCUGGACACUUGUGGCAGCAAGGCCAGCGUGGAGGCGCUGCUCCUGUCCCCAGGAGGGCCCAAGGCCUCGGGAUCUGGUGCCCUGGCCCUGGCUCGGCUGGCAAGGCCACCAUCUCUCAGCAGUGCCAUAUGGCCUAUCCCUCUGGCCACCCGGGCCCCAGGGGCGGAUCUGCUGGGCCCAAGGCUUUGAUCCUGACUUGGACCCCCACGCCCCACCCCCAAGGCUGGAGAGCACCCCCCUGAGGCUGCUGCACACCAACACCUGCAGAGACACCUUCCGCCUCCAGCCCGACUGUCCGGACCUGCAGGCCCUCCUGCCCAAGGGCUCCCGGUGCGCGAUCGCCCCCACCGGCCCAGCCCAGCUGGUGGUGUCUGAUGGGAGCCCCCUGGUCUGCUUCCAAGCUAGCAGCUGGCGGCUGGAGGGUGUGAUGACCUGGGGUCCCUGCUCCCGGCCUGGCCUCCCUGAGGUCUACACACGUGCCUGUCCCCUCAUUUCUUGGAUUCGGGAGACGGUCUCCAAUGCCACCUUCGAUACCUCAGCCAAGAUGCACUCUUGGGACCGGCCCAGGACCAGGCAGAGGAGGCAGUGAGGGUCCUUCGGGAGUUCUGGGUUUGAAACCUGGCUCAGCUCCUUACCUGCUGCUGCGAUGGUGUCCCAGUCACCUCCCUUCUGAAUCUGCUUCCUCUUUUGUGCAACGGAGAUGUAUUCAAUUAUUCAGUCGUUCCACAGCUGCCACAUGCUCCCUACACAAGGUUGCUACAGCCCCUGUGCUCAUGGAGUCUGGGGGGCGAGGCGAGCAUUAGCCAGCGCUCUCACAAUAAUAAAUGUGCAAAUGC
Molecule: long non-coding RNA, 1191 nt
Filed under: Sus scrofa (pig)
Lineage: Eukaryota; Metazoa; Chordata; Mammalia; Artiodactyla; Suidae
Description: lncRNA (ENSSSCG00035069391.1)
Source: RNAcentral